UACGAAGGGUGCUAGCGUUGUUCGGAAUCACUGGGCGUAAAGCGUGCGUAGGCGGCUUGACAAGUCUGAUGUGAAAGCCCGGGGCUUAACCCCGGAACUGCAUUGGAAACUGUCUCGCUGGAGUGUGGAAGGGGAAAGCGGAAUUCCUAGUGUAGAGGUGAAAUUCGUAGAUAUUAGGAGGAACACCAGUGGCGAAGGCGGCUUUCUGGUCCACAACUGACGCUGAGGCACGAAAGCGUGGGGAGCAAACAGG
RNAcentral lists this ribosomal RNA (253 nucleotides) under uncultured bacterium. Its description in RNAcentral is "partial 16S ribosomal RNA". It matches the Rfam family "Bacterial small subunit ribosomal RNA", at positions 524 to 776 of the family's 1533-position model. The record is from RNAcentral.